RNAcentral lists this ribosomal RNA (253 nucleotides) under uncultured bacterium. RNAcentral describes it as "partial 16S ribosomal RNA". It matches the Rfam family "Bacterial small subunit ribosomal RNA", at positions 524 to 776 of the family's 1533-position model. The record is from RNAcentral.
UACGUAGGUGGCAAGCGUUAUCCGGAAUUAUUGGGCGUAAAGCGCGCGCAGGUGGUUUCUUAAGUCUGAUGUGAAAGCCCACGGCUCGACCGUGGAGGGUCAUUGGAAACUGGGAGACUUGAGUGCAGAAGAGGAAAGUGGAAUUCCAUGUGUAGCGGUGAAAUGCGUAGAGAUAUGGAGGAACACCAGUGGCGAAGGCGACUUUCUGGUCUGUAACUGACACUGAGGCGCGAAAGCGUGGGGAGCAAACAGG